GUCCUCGUAGUUCAACGGAUAGAACGGGAGCCUUCUAAGCUCUUGAUGUAGGUUCGAUUCCUACCGAGGGCACCA
Molecule: transfer RNA, 75 nt
Filed under: Patescibacteria group bacterium
Lineage: Bacteria
Description: tRNA-Arg
Rfam family: tRNA
About the family: Transfer RNA (tRNA) molecules are approximately 80 nucleotides in length. Their secondary structure includes four short double-helical elements and three loops (D, anti-codon, and T loops).
Source: RNAcentral